This 433-nucleotide ribosomal RNA is filed under the name uncultured bacterium. RNAcentral describes it as "partial 16S ribosomal RNA". It matches the Rfam family "Bacterial small subunit ribosomal RNA", at positions 29 to 507 of the family's 1533-position model. The record is from RNAcentral.
AACGAACGCUGGCGGCAUGCCUAACACAUGCAAGUCGAACGAGACCUUCGGGCCUAGUGGCGCACGGGUGCGUAACGCGUGGGAACCUGCCCUUAGGUUCGGAAUAACUCCCCGAAAGGGGUGCUAAUAACGGAUAAUGUCUUCGGACCAAAGAUUUAUCGCCUUUGGAUGGGCCCGCGUUGGAUUAGCUAGUUGGUAGGGUAAAAGCCUACCAAGGCGACGAUCCAUAGCUGGUCUGAGAGGAUGAUCAGCCACACUGGGACUGAGACACGGCCCAGACUCCUACGGGAGGCAGCAGUGGGGAAUAUUGGACAAUGGGCGAAAGCCUGAUCCAGCAAUGCCGCGUGAGUGAUGAAGGCCUUAGGGUUGUAAAGCUCUUUUACCCGGGAUGAUAAUGACAGUACCGGGAGAAUAAGCUCCGGCUAACUCCGUG